Molecule: long non-coding RNA, 3971 nt
Organism: Mustela lutreola (European mink)
Lineage: Eukaryota; Metazoa; Chordata; Mammalia; Carnivora; Mustelidae
Exons: 3
Source: RefSeq, a predicted model, not a curated record
ACACUCAUUUUUUUCUUUCAGGUAGCAUUUGGCAACAUCAGUCCUAGAGAAAAUCAUGGGAGCUGGAUUCUGACUAUAGCUGACAUGUUUUUGUUAUGUUAAUCACUUAGAUUGAAAUUUAGGAGAAGAUUAUUACAAUUUCUAUUCCAGAAAAUGAAACAAGAAUGAAGUAGGCACUGAGUUAAUAUGAUCACUUCCAGGUGAAAAAGAAAAAAAAAGUCAAGGAUCUUCAAUGGGGUCAUAGAAGGUUGGAGGACAAGUGCCAGUCCUCCUAACUAGGCCUUAAAAGUCUGGGUGGCGUGGACUCUCGCUGGAGCCUGUGGAGAUUAUAAAACCAGAAGCUCACUGCCUUGCGUGGCAGGAGUAAGAGCCAGUGUGGAGGUGUAGGAGUUGGAAGGAACUUGGAAAUCAGCCCCUUGUGGCCCUUCACUUUGAGAUUCACAAAGAAAAAAAAGAGAUGUCUCCCCUCUAAAAGCAAAUGGACCCUCCUUCCUGCACCUGAAGACCUUGCUCACUCCAGGUUCUUCCAAAGAAGCAGCAGCUUGACUUCCAAAUACCGUAUUGGAAAUGAGGGUGUCUGCAGGAGAGGAGGAUGGCCGAGGGCAUCUCAUGUGCCUGAAACAGUUCUUCAUGAGUGAAAGGGGGGUGCAGGAUGGAGAUGACACCAGCACCCACUUCCAGCUCUCCAAGUCUCUACUUUCUGCUCCUCCUCCAUCUGAAGCCACAGCAUCCUGACCAGGACCAUGCAGGGAACAAUUGCAAGCCACCCACUGUCCCUUUAGCUCUAUUUAAAACAUGGCACAGAUAAGAUGACUUUUGAAGAUGAGAAGGACAGAAAAAUAAAUGUAUAAAAAUAAAAGUACAAAAGUUCUAUGUUUUCCUGGCAUGUUGGGAUGAGUGCCUGAGAGUGGAUGUAGGCCAGAAGGUUACAUGGGCACACCAGCCCCAGCUCCAGAAGACAUUCCUGACCAGCCUCUUCAGAGGGAGGACGUGCAAAGGCAGUGGAAGCAUCCAGAGGAGUAAGCAGCUACUGCAGGACUUGCCCACUGAUGGGUGGUUGAUCACUCACACAGGGGGAAAGAACCGUGAAUUCCUGGUAGUGACACUGGAAUCAUCUUUUGUGUUUCCAGAUGCAUUAAAAAUAGAAAGGAACCACCAUGCAUGGAAUAUAUGAAGUCUUACAGAGAAGAGUGGUAAAGUAUUUUGUUCUGAAAGAUCACCUUGCAAGCCAUAUAAAAGCAUUCUGGAGAAACGGCCUCACCUCAUGCGGCAUUAGAACAUGCAUCAUAUAGCCUCAAUCUGUACGUGACACUAAAGUAUGUUCUUUGUUGGUGUUCUUUAUAGGUGUUUUUAAGCUGAAUGCACUCCAAAAAAUAGAUAGGAGAGAAGAAUAGUUGCUAAGACACAUAAAAUGCUCUAGAAUUGGAGUUGCAUAAGAAGUAAAAAAAAGAAACAAUAUAAGAAUAGAAGAAGAAAUGUAUAAAUAUUACAAUAGAACAUUGAAGUAUUUUAGGACCUUUACUCAGGGAUCAAAAACAUCAGAUAAGUCUAUAAAAGCCUCUGAGAGGCUGCAGAAAAAACAAGAUAAUAUAGAGUAGUGAUGUCCUUUUGGGAGUUUAAAACAAAACGCUUGAGUUAUUCUUGAAAGUAAUAUUCAAAGAUCUUAAAGGAUUGUAAAGUGUAGUUUCACAGUUUAGAAAGAUAGACCGAGUUCUGGGCACCCUUACCUCUAUUCCGGACAGCGGUAGAGCUCUGGGUAUAUCCUGAGAAGAUGUGGAGAUAAUUUCAGAGGAUUUCUGGCUGAAGAAACAUACUGAUGCCUAUCUUGAGCUCCGUCCCUUUAAAGUCAGAAGUGACCACCCUUGGGCUGGUCAGCCCUUUACCAUGGACCUCACAGAGCUCAACUAUAGGCUUGCUCUGGGCCAACUUCCAAGCUCUGUGCUCCUCCUCCUGAGCUCAUCUGUAUGUAGUCUUGCUCCUGGGCUACUCGACUGAUUUUUUGAAGCCUAAGGAAUUGCUUCCAUCUUCGUAUGACCAAGCCUGGGCCAAGCCACUAUUUCUGCUGACUCAUUUGCACUAUCUACCUCUACUGGGGAUGGUCAUAGCUUUCAUAGCUGACACACCAUCCAGCUUGAACCCAGUCUCUUCUUUGGUCAUUGUGAGUAGCAAGAAGCACUAUCUUUUGGAUUCACUGCAGGAUUCACACACUUAAAUGCGCAAAGUCAGGUUCUGUGGCUUUCGCUGCAUCCAGAUUGGACAGUGCCUGUAGCUGAGACAUCCUUUACCUCUGUUUCCAACGAACUCAGCUGGCAUUAAAACCUCAGUGUGCUUCCUCCACCUUGUCCAGAGGAAAGUCAAAUGAAAGACUUCAUCAAGAACUGGAGAAGAAAUGGAGAAGAACCACAUAGUUGGUCACUGCUGCUGCGUGAAUCUUGUGUUUAGAGCUCAGAGUUGGUGAUAUAAAUGUAGCCAGCUCUGCUGCUGCUUUCCCUUCACAUACCGUUAAACUGUACAGUAUAGUUCAGCUUUCAGUGCUGGAAUGGUGUUUCAAAUGUAGACUCGAACAAUGCUCAGAGGCUUGGUUCUAACAUAGAGCUGGAAUUCUAUCCUGAAAUGCAUCCUGCCACAUGGGGAAGGAACCCAGUCUUCUCUGUCUCUUGCUUUAAACUCUUCUCUCUUCCAGAGGCUGGAGUCUUGACAUAUGUGUCUGCAUCUUGAAAUAUGUGCCUUGAAUAAGAUCACUAACCUGUAGAAAACUUGUAUUACUUUGAACAAAUUCUCAGUUUAUAGAAACCUAUGGAAAUAGCAAAAGCGAGCAUGAGAAGAAGCAGUAACUUUAGCAGUCAUAAACUAAGUGGAUAACCUGAAAAAUAAAGUAUAUGCCCAAAACUGUAUUUAAUUAGUUUGGCCUUUCCCCCCCCCCCCAUCCUUUUCCGCUUUUACAUUUCUUUUCUAAAACUAAGUGCUCUUUCAUGAUCUACUUAAUAUUGUGAAAGAUGCCAGUCUGGAAAUUAGGAUGGCAUUUCUUGAAACAAGUGGCAACAUGGCGAGGUAGAAACAGCUUGGGGUCUAGUUCUGUCCUUGCUGCUAACCCUGGGUAGCCUUGGCCUUGCUGCUAACCCUGGGCACCUCUCUGGGCCUCUCUUUUUGUAUCUAUAAAGUCACGGGUCUCUCGGGAGUACCUUCUGGCUCUAAAAUCCACCCCCUCUGUACUGUUGAUGCUUUCCUGUGUUUAGAAAUUUCUCGGUUUCUUAUGAACUGUCAUAAGAGCUAGAGUUCAGGAGUAGUAGAAACUUGUGCUUCCGUUUGUGUCAAUGUUCAGCACUUUUAAAUGCUAAUGUAGGUAGUUAAUUUGUCAUCUUGCUUGAAUAUUAGUAUACUUUAAAAAUACCAUAUGCUAAAAUAUAAUCUUUAGAAAAACAAAUUUGUAAUGGGAAAUAAAUAAUUGUUACUGCUUAUCUCAAACCCUGCAGGGCCCCUCAGUCAUCACCUACAGCAUGGUUCUCAGACCUAGCUAUGUAUUAGCAUCUCCCACGGAGCUUUUAAAGAUAUUGGUGCCUGCCCUCUUACCUCAGAAUCUCUGAUCUGAUUGGUCUGGUGUGGGGCCCAAUACCAGUAUUUUAAGAGUCAAGUCAAGUCAAGAACCAGUGGCCUACAAAAUAAUUUCAAUUUCUGGGACUGAUGUCUAAGAUCUCACAGGGGUGACUCAUACCUACUUGGCCUCCACACUGACUGACCAACUGUAGGCCCUUCUGCAUGCCAUGAUGGUUCACAGUGUUGUUUCACAUUUCCAUACAUUUGCACCUGCUGUGAUGGCCUGGAAUGCCAUCACCCUAAGGGGCCUGCCUGUUCUUUACUACAGGUUUCUUCAUUAACAUAGUUCCUAUAAUACUUUGUAAUGACCUGCUUUGUAGUUGUCUUCCUAGAUUGUAAAUAUUUUAUCCAUAAUUGUAUGCAUUUGUAUUCAUAAA